Molecule: ribosomal RNA, 465 nt
Filed under: uncultured Klebsiella sp.
Lineage: Bacteria; Pseudomonadati; Pseudomonadota; Gammaproteobacteria; Enterobacterales; Enterobacteriaceae
Description: bacterial SSU rRNA
Rfam family: Bacterial small subunit ribosomal RNA
Source: RNAcentral
CCUACGGGAGGCAGCAGUGGGGAAUAUUGCACAAUGGGCGCAAGCCUGAUGCAGCCAUGCCGCGUUUGUGAAGAAGGCCUUCGGGUUGUAAAGCACUUUCAGCGGGGAGGAAGGCGGUGAGGUUAAUAACCUCAUCGAUUGACGUUACCCGCAGAAGAAGCACCGGCUAACUCCGUGCCAGCAGCCGCGGUAAUACGGAGGGUGCAAGCGUUAAUCGGAAUUACUGGGCGUAAAGCGCACGCAGGCGGUCUGUCAAGUCGGAUGUGAAAUCCCCGGGCUCAACCUGGGAACUGCAUUCGAAACUGGCAGGCUAGAGUCUUGUAGAGUGGGGUAGAAUUCCAGGUGUAGCGGUGAAAUGCGUAGAGAUCUGGAGGAAUACCGGUGGCGAAGGCGGCCCCCUGGACAAAGACUGACGCUCAGGUGCGAAAGCGUGGGGAGCAAACAGGAUUAGAUACCCGAGUAGUC